Molecule: ribosomal RNA, 475 nt
Filed under: uncultured organism
Description: partial 16S ribosomal RNA
Rfam family: Bacterial small subunit ribosomal RNA
Source: RNAcentral
CACUCCUGCGGGAGGCAGCAGUAGGGAAUCUUCCACAAUGGGUGCAAACCUGAUGGAGCAAUGCCGCGUGAGUGAAGAAGGUCUUCGGAUCGUAAAGCUCUGUUGUUAGAGAAGAACACGUGCUAGGUAACUACUAGCGCCUUGACGGUAUCUAACCAGAAAGUCACGGCUAACUACGUGCCAGCAGCCGCGGUAAUACGUAGGUGACAAGCGUUGUCCGGAUUUAUUGGGCGUAAAGGGAGCGCAGGCGGUCUGUUUAGUCUAAUGUGAAAGCCCACGGCUUAACCGUGGAACGGCAUUGGAAACUGACAGACUUGAAUGUAGAAGAGGAAAAUGGAAUUCCAAGUGUAGCGGUGGAAUGCGUAGAUAUUUGGAGGAACACCAGUGGCGAAGGCGAUUUUCUGGUCUAACAUUGACGCUGAGGCUCGAAAGCGUGGGGAGCGAACAGGAUUAGAUACCCCUGUAGUCCCAUGAU